UGCCAGCAGCCGCGGUAACACGGGGGGCGCAAGCGUUAUUCGGAAUUAUUGGGCGUAAAGGGCGCGUAGGCGGCCUGAUAAGUCAGGGGUGAAAUCCCUCGGCUCAACCGAGGAACUGCCCUUGAAACUGUCAGGCUCGAGGCCGGGAGAGGGUGGUGGAAUUCCCAGUGUAGCGGUGAAAUGCGUAGAUAUUGGGAGGAACACCAGUGGCGAAGGCGGCCACCUGGACCGGUUCUGACGCUGAGGCGCGAAAGCGUGGGGAUCAAACAGGAUUAGAUA
RNAcentral lists this ribosomal RNA (279 nucleotides) under uncultured bacterium. RNAcentral describes it as "partial 16S ribosomal RNA". It matches the Rfam family "Bacterial small subunit ribosomal RNA", at positions 506 to 784 of the family's 1533-position model. The record is from RNAcentral.